RNAcentral lists this ribosomal RNA (842 nucleotides) under uncultured Burkholderia sp. RNAcentral describes it as "partial 16S ribosomal RNA". It matches the Rfam family "Bacterial small subunit ribosomal RNA", at positions 26 to 865 of the family's 1533-position model. Lineage: Bacteria; Pseudomonadati; Pseudomonadota; Betaproteobacteria; Burkholderiales; Burkholderiaceae. The record is from RNAcentral.
AGAUUGAACGCUGGCGGCAUGCCUUACACAUGCAAGUCGAACGGCAGCACGGGGGCAACCCUGGUGGCGAGUGGCGAACGGGUGAGUAAUACAUCGGAACGUGUCCUGUAGUGGGGGAUAGCCCGGCGAAAGCCGGAUUAAUACCGCAUACGACCUAAGGGAGAAAGCGGGGGAUCUUCGGACCUCGCGCUAUAGGGGCGGCCGAUGGCAGAUUAGCUAGUUGGUGGGGUAAAGGCCUACCAAGGCGACGAUCUGUAGCUGGUCUGAGAGGACGACCAGCCACACUGGGACUGAGACACGGCCCAGACUCCUACGGGAGGCAGCAGUGGGGAAUUUUGGACAAUGGGCGAAAGCCUGAUCCAGCAAUGCCGCGUGAGUGAAGAAGGCCUUCGGGUUGUAAAGCUCUUUUGUCAGGGAAGAAAAGGCUGUGGCUAAUAUCCACGGCUCAUGACGGUACCUGAAGAAUAAGCACCGGCUAACUACGUGCCAGCAGCCGCGGUAAUACGUAGGGUGCAAGCGUUAAUCGGAAUUACUGGGCGUAAAGCGUGCGCAGGCGGUUCGGAAAGAAAGAUGUGAAAUCCCAGAGCUUAACUUUGGAACUGCAUUUUUAACUACCGGGCUGAGUGUGUCAGAGGGAGGUGGAAUUCCGCGUGUAGCAGUGAAAUGCGUAGAUAUGCGGAGGAACACCGAUGGCGAAGGCAAUCCCCUGGACCUGUACUGACGCUCAUGCACGAAAGCGUGGGGAGCAAACAGGAUUAGAUACCCUGGUAGUCCACGCCCUAAACGAUGUCAACUGGUUGUUGGACGGCUUGCUGUUCAGUAACGAAGCUAACGCGUGAAGU